GAAGUGGAAGAGUAAUGAAGA
RNAcentral lists this non-coding RNA (21 nucleotides) under Caenorhabditis elegans. Lineage: Eukaryota; Metazoa; Nematoda; Chromadorea; Rhabditida; Rhabditidae. The record is from RNAcentral.